CUCGUAGGCGGUUCGGUAAGUCGGGUGUGAAACCUCCAGGCUCAACCUGGAGACGCCACCCGAUACUGCUGUGACUAGAGUCCAGUAGGGGAGCGUGGAAUUCCUGGUGUAGCGGUGAAAUGCGCAGAUAUCAGGAGGAACACCAGCGGCGAAGGCGGCGCUCUGGGCUGGAACUGACGCUGAGGAGCGAAAGCGUGGGGAGCGAACA
RNAcentral lists this ribosomal RNA (208 nucleotides) under uncultured bacterium. Its description in RNAcentral is "partial 16S ribosomal RNA". It matches the Rfam family "Bacterial small subunit ribosomal RNA", at positions 568 to 774 of the family's 1533-position model. The record is from RNAcentral.